AAAAAGAACGAAAAUGAGGAGGAAAUAAUGGAGGAAAAUAUUGAUGGUGAAGUGGGGGAGUGGAGUGAGGAGGAAGAAGUUGAAAAGAACGAAAAGAAUGGUGAAGUUGAAAAGAAAAAAGUGUGGAGAUUGAGAAAAAUACGAGUGAUGAAGUAAUGGGGGAGAAAGUGAAAAAGCCUAGAUGGAGGAGUUCUAGAGUUGCAAAGGGAAAGGAGGUAGUGAUCACUACUCCAAUCCAAAACCUUCCUUAUCCUCAUGCCCCGUCCAAAAGGGAGAAUGAAC
RNAcentral lists this long non-coding RNA (282 nucleotides) under Lathyrus oleraceus (garden pea). Its description in RNAcentral is "Pisum sativum (pea) long non-coding RNA (PSAT_LNC012399)". The record is from RNAcentral. Lineage: Eukaryota; Viridiplantae; Streptophyta; Magnoliopsida; Fabales; Fabaceae.